AAUUAUGGUGUGUGACAUAGCAAUAUUUUUAGGAAUCUCAAACAUUUUAUAAAAACCAAACUAUAUUUACUUAUAAAUUAAUUGAUGGUAAUUAUGCAGAAUUGCUUGGGGCGAUUGUAGAUGUUGGGUGAUAAUAGGUUUUUAGUCAAUUAUCCUAAAACACCAAUCAUGUCGUUGUAGUAUUUUAGGUUGUCAAUCCAAAAGGGUGUGUUGCUAACAAUCAAGAUGUGAUCAAAAGUCACUAAGUCAAGCCAAGCAAUAACAGGUUUUAGUGUGUUUUAGCAGUCCUAAGUGAAGAUGCAGAAAACAAAAAAUCAAGCAGAAACAAUAAAACACUCGACCAACACAGCUCGUUGCAAAGCACUGGGUGUGGUCGAGUGACCGGUCGAGUAAAAGGCAGUAAAUGAAACAGAGAUACUCGACUGCACAGUCUGUUGCCAGAAAACUGGGUGGUCGAGUAUAACGUCGAGUAACAGGAGAAAAUGCAAAAACUAAACAACAAGUAACACGAUGCAGUAAACAACAGUAGAGUAAUUGAGUAGUUUCGUUUCCUCAGUUUAUAGGUGAUUGACAUGCUCAAUAAAUUAUCCCUAGACAACAAGUUCGGUAACCAAAUCUAAGUGCCAACGCAACAGAGACCCUGAAGUUAAACCAGUCCCAGACACAAUCACCAUUGACGAGAGCUUACCUAACAGGCAUUACGAAUCAACAGGUUAAGGCCAAAACGCUCCCUGCAACCAAUACCUUGGUACAGAGCCACGAAUCUCUGGAAUUAGUGGUUCAGACAUUUCAUCGAACACCUUUUGGGCGUAGAAAUGUCUGCGCUCAAAUUCCAGUUGAUCAAAAAGCAAUAGGCAUUAAGAACAACUAAUCCAAACGGGAUCUAUAAAUCAAACUCAAACUCCUAGCACACUGAGAAUUCUAAACUACUCUAACCCAUCCUCCGAAACCUAUUCAUUACUCAUACAUCAUUGUAGAGAACAUAAACAUUGAAUAGAAUGAAAACAUGAUAACAACAAAAUAAUAGCAAGAUGAUAAUAGGAUGAACAACAGUAGACGAAAUCAAAAGAAAAAUGCUGAAUACUGAAUAGAUUAAGAGAAAUCCGGAUUACAAAAUGUCAAGAACACAGUGUCUAUGGAAUAAAAACUUAGAAAAACGAAAAUUUAAAGAACAUGUUACUUAUAGCAAAAUAUUCUGAAACCCUAAUACUCAAAACGACGCACUAUUGGGACGCAGUAAGAACUAUACUCGACCAGCUGGUCGAGUUAGUGGUUGAGUGAUAUAUUGGAGUCUUCUUUUCUUUCUCGUGCUUGAGUGUCUGGUUGAGUGCGAAAUGGAGAUGAUGCUGAAGCUAGCAUCCGAGUAUGUAGUCGAGUGAUAGAGAUGGUGGUACUCGGCUUGGUGGUAGAGUGAUCGAGUGAAGGUGAUGAAGGUACUCGACCAUGUGGUCGAGUAGUGUGAUCGAGUGAAGGUGAUUUGGUGGACGUGAUGAUACUUGACCAGGGGGUCGAGUGAUGUGAUCGAGUGAUUGUCUUGGCGGUACUCGACCAGUGGGUCGAGUGGUGUUGUGAAGUGAUGAGGCCAUCUACUCGACCAGGGGGUCGAGUAGUUUGUUAAAGUCGUGGAACCAUCUACUCGACCAGGGGUUCGAGUGUUUUGCAGUGAUCAGGUCCGCUUCUUCCAAUUAUCUCGCCAACAGCUCCAAAUCACCUGAAAACAACACAAAUAUGCAACAUGCAUGUAAAACUAUCAUAAACAUGCAAAGUGAUGACAAAUGAUGAGAAAUGAUAUAAAACAGUGAUGAUAUGACGCUAAAGUGAUGAUAAAUGGAUGCUCAAAACAGGCAAAAUGCACACUUAUCAACUCCUCCAAACUUAGUCUUUGCUUGCCCUCAAGCAAACAAUUAAGAACAAGCUGGAGGUGAGAUUUGAAAGCGGGGACUCAGAGCCAAAGCACCAGAUAACCCAGAUGAAAUCAAUGUCCAAGUUGAUAGUUCUAAGCUGCGAUAUGAUCGAAUUCUACUCAAAAACGUUAGCCAUGCCUUGUUAUUAAUCAAUCUGACUGUUAUGCUCGACCUACACAUGUUUUCAAAUCUACCAAUCCCUUUAACAUUCAUUAGUUCUGGAACGUGAAUCAAGCAAUGCAUCAUCAAUGAACUCAUUUGGCUAAGGUAAAGGUCAAGAGACAAAGAUUGUCCCUUACAGAAUAGGCUUCAAUAACAGGGGAUCUCUCAAAAAAUGAUUAAGCUUUAGUAGAAUGCUAAAGGUAAGUCCAACGCUAUGCAUACAGAGAUAAGAUCCCAUCUACGCUGAGUAUAUCAAAUGAAGCUCUAAUGGUAAUCCCAUCUCCAAUCCCAAUAUAAGAACCUAACUCUACCCUUUGCAUUCAUGAAUCUUUUAAGCCCUUUUUCUAAUCAUUCUUUUCUUUUCUCUUAACUCUAGGAGAAGCUUUCUCAACACUUUGAUAUAUCUAGCGGAUUUCGAUUUCUUUAACAACUAUGGUUCCUGAUUUUGAAAUUUUAAAACCGAGGGCUUUUGCCCUUCUUCAAUAGCUAACAAGAACUCUUUCUUUUCUUUACAAAUCCCAAAACCUUUGCUAGACUUUUUCCGCUUCUUUAGCUUACUUCACCUAGAGUCUUUUACCUUUUCUCAUCAAUGAAUCAACCUUUUUU
RNAcentral lists this small RNA (2672 nucleotides) under Arabidopsis thaliana (thale cress). RNAcentral's name for it is "ATSL167980". The record is from RNAcentral. Lineage: Eukaryota; Viridiplantae; Streptophyta; Magnoliopsida; Brassicales; Brassicaceae.